This 406-nucleotide ribosomal RNA is filed under the name uncultured bacterium. Its description in RNAcentral is "partial 16S ribosomal RNA". It matches the Rfam family "Bacterial small subunit ribosomal RNA", at positions 29 to 526 of the family's 1533-position model. The record is from RNAcentral.
AUUGAACGCUGGCGGCAGGCCUAACACAUGCAAGUCGAACGAGUGGCGGAAGGGUGAGUAAUGUCUGGGAAACUGCCUGAUGGAGGGGGAUAACUACUGGAAACGGUAGCUAAUACCGCAUACCAUCAGAUGUGCCCAGAGGGGUAUAGCGAGUUGGGGGGGUAAAGGCUCACGAAGGCGAAGAUCCCUAGCUGGUCUGAGAGGAUGACCAGCCACACUGGGACUGAGACACGGUCCAGACGCCUACGAGAGGCAGCAGUAGGUAAUAGUCGACAAUGGGCGCAAGCCUGAUGCAGCCAUGCCGCGUGUGUGAAGAAGUCCUUCGGGUUGUAAAGCACUUUCAGCGGGGAGGCGUUACCCGCAGAAAAAGCACCGGCUAACUCCGUGCCAGCAGCCGCGGUAAUAC